RNAcentral lists this ribosomal RNA (464 nucleotides) under uncultured bacterium. RNAcentral's name for it is "bacterial SSU rRNA". It matches the Rfam family "Bacterial small subunit ribosomal RNA", at positions 355 to 835 of the family's 1533-position model. The record is from RNAcentral.
UGGGGAAUCUUGGACAAUGGGGCAACCCUGAUCCAGCCAUGCCGCGUGAGUGAUGAAGGCCUUAGGGUCGUAAAGCUCUUUCGCCUGUGAAGAUAAUGACGGUAGCAGGUAAAGAAACCCCGGCUAACUCCGUGCCAGCAGCCGCGGUAAUACGGAGGGGGUUAGCGUUGUUCGGAAUUACUGGGCGUAAAGCGCACGUAGGCGGACCAGAAAGUUGGGGGUGAAAUCCCGGGGGCUCAACCCCGGAACUGCCUCCAAAACUAUUGGUCUAGAGUUCGAGAGAGGUGAGUGGAAUUCCAAGUGUAGAGGUGAAAUUCGUAGAUAUUUGGAGGAACACCAGUGGCGAAGGCGGCUCACUGGCUCGAUACUGACGCUGAGGUGCGAAAGUGUGGGGAGCAAACAGGAUUAGAUACCCUGGUAGUCCACACCGUAAAACGAUGAAUGCCAGUCGUCGGGUAGCAUGC